Molecule: long non-coding RNA, 391 nt
Organism: Schistocerca americana (American grasshopper)
Lineage: Eukaryota; Metazoa; Arthropoda; Insecta; Orthoptera; Acrididae
Exons: 3
Source: RefSeq, a predicted model, not a curated record
AGGGAGACAUCCAACGAUACCACACUCGACCUCCCACCUCACCCUGUGCAUGGGUGGUGGAGGACAACUUUGGAAUCCAAUGGGAACUCCCAUUUUUUAUUGCAGAUUACAUCCCGCCAGUGCUGGAGGAGCUUGACCAGCAGCUAGAGAUGGAGAGGGCGCAGGCACAACUCGAUUAUGAUCAUGGUUCCAUGCAUAGGGAGGGGAGCACAAAGGGUGGCGUGCAAGGUGGGGGACAAAUGGCGGCCGCUCCAGAAAACCAUCAAAUUAUCGAGCUUUUAGAGGAGGAGGAGGAGCUCGAUCUGCCUGAGUAGGUGGGAGACCUGGUUGAAUGUGGCAAUGAGUUGCUCAAAACCAUGGAGCCAGAGCAGAGAACGUGAAUAGUUUUGAA